Molecule: non-coding RNA, 72 nt
Organism: Morus notabilis
Lineage: Eukaryota; Viridiplantae; Streptophyta; Magnoliopsida; Rosales; Moraceae
Source: Rfam
GGGCAUUGAGUCUAGUGGUAUGAUUCUUGCUUUUGGUGUGAGAGGUCCCGAGUUCGAUUCUCGUAAUGCCCU